UGGUCAAGUUAUUAAGGGUGCAGUGCGGAUGCCUUGGCACUAGGAGCCGAUGAAGGACGUGAUAAGCUGCGAUAAUCUUCGUGGAGUUUCACGUAAACUUUGAUCCGAAGAUUUCCGAAUGAGGAAACUCACUUAGAGUAAUGUCUAAGUAUCAUUAAGUGAAUACAUAGCUUAAUGAGGGGAACACAGGGAACUGAAACAUCUAAGUACCUGAAGGAAGAGAAAGAAAUUCGAUUAAGUAAGUAGCGGCGAGCGAACGCGGAUUCGCCCAAACCAAUAAAGUUUUCUUUAUUGGGGUUGCGGACAUAUCAUAACGAAGAGGUAUCGUAAUUGAAGAGGUUUGGAAAGACCCACCACAGAAGGUAAUAGUCCUGUAUGUUAAACGAGAAGACUUUAGAUAUGAUCCAGAGUACCACGGGACACGUGAAACCCUGUGGGAAGCAGGAGGGACCACCCUCCAAGGCUAAAUACUACCUAGUGACCGAUAGCGUAUAGUACCGUGAGGGAAAGGUGAAAAGAACCCCGGGAGGGGAGUGAAAUAGAACCUGAAACCCUGCACUUACAAGCUGUGGAAGCACAUUUCUUGUGUGACCGCGUACUUUUUGUAGAACGGGCCAACGAGUUACGUUAAGUAGCAAGGUUAAGCACUUAAGGUGCGGAGCCGUAGCGAAAGCGAGUUUUAACUGAGCGUUCAGUUACUUGACGUAGACCCGAAACCGGGCGACCUACCCAUGAGCAGGAUGAAGCGAAAGUAAAAUUUCGUGGAGGUCCGAACCCACGAGCG
This 784-nucleotide ribosomal RNA is filed under the name Clostridioides difficile. Its description in RNAcentral is "bacterial LSU rRNA". It matches the Rfam family "Bacterial large subunit ribosomal RNA", at positions 1 to 788 of the family's 2925-position model. The record is from RNAcentral. Lineage: Bacteria; Bacillati; Bacillota; Clostridia; Peptostreptococcales; Peptostreptococcaceae.